This 433-nucleotide ribosomal RNA is filed under the name uncultured bacterium. RNAcentral describes it as "partial 16S ribosomal RNA". It matches the Rfam family "Bacterial small subunit ribosomal RNA", at positions 29 to 507 of the family's 1533-position model. The record is from RNAcentral.
AACGAACGCUGGCGGCAGGCCUAACACAUGCAAGUCGAGCGAGAUCUUCGGGUCUAGCGGCGGACGGGUGAGUAACGCGUGGGAAUAUGCCUCUUGGUACGGAAUAGCCUCGGGAAACUGGGAGUAAUACCGUAUGUGCCCUUUGGGGGAAAGAUUUAUCGCCAAGAGAUUAGCCCGCGUUGGAUUAGGUAGUUGGUGGGGUAAUGGCCUACCAAGCCGACGAUCCAUAGCUGGUUUGAGAGGAUGAUCAGCCGCACUGGGACUGAGACACGGCCCAGACUCCUACGGGAGGCAGCAGUGGGGAAUCUUAGACAAUGGGGGCAACCCUGAUCUAGCCAUGCCGCGUGAGUGAUGAAGGCCUUAGGGUUGUAAAGCUCUUUCAGCUGGGAAGAUAAUGACGGUACCAGCAGAAGAAGCCCCGGCUAACUCCGUG